Molecule: transfer RNA, 75 nt
Filed under: Alphaproteobacteria bacterium RIFCSPHIGHO2_12_FULL_63_12
Lineage: Bacteria; Pseudomonadati; Pseudomonadota; Alphaproteobacteria
Also listed under: 15 other names
Description: tRNA-Glu
Rfam family: tRNA
About the family: Transfer RNA (tRNA) molecules are approximately 80 nucleotides in length. Their secondary structure includes four short double-helical elements and three loops (D, anti-codon, and T loops).
Source: RNAcentral
GGGCCCUUCGUCUAUCGGUUAGGACGUCAGGUUUUCAACCUGAAAAGAGGGGUUCGACUCCCCUAGGGCCUGCCA